Molecule: ribosomal RNA, 553 nt
Filed under: Machilis sp. A TD-2014
Lineage: Eukaryota; Metazoa; Arthropoda; Insecta; Archaeognatha; Machilidae
Description: eukaryotic LSU rRNA
Rfam family: Eukaryotic large subunit ribosomal RNA (bases 423-553)
Source: RNAcentral
CAUUGCGGCUCGGGAUCCUGAUCUCGGGCCACACCUGACUGAGGGUCGGUGAUAUCAUAAGAGCAAAUUGUAUUGGGCGACGUCCGACUUGAAUUGUCGAACGCGCACCAAAUUCAAAAGAAAGACUCGGAGAAGGCCGCCGCCUCUCUCCCUGACGGGAGAGUGGAGACUUGUACGGUCGUCGUGAGUACGUGUCUUUGUGUUUUUUCAUACGGACCAACGAGAAAAGCUCGCAAGGUAGUUGUCGGUGGAGUAAACGGAACCCUUCUUAAACCGGAGGCGCCCGCGAAAGAUCGACUCUGCGAAUUGCGGAUUGCCGCUCGCCGAUAAAAAAACAAGACACCGGAAAGCGCGCAUCGUCUCGUCGUUCGGCACACGACUCCGUUCGUCUAUACAUGAUACACACACACAUGAAUUGAUCGCGACCUCAGAUCAGGUGAGACUACCCGCUAAAUUUAAGCAUAUUAAUAAGCGGAGGAAAAGAAACUAACAAGGAUUCCCUGAGUAACGGCGAGCGAAAAGGGAAAAGCCCAGCACCGAAUCUCGUACCGUG